RNAcentral lists this long non-coding RNA (294 nucleotides) under Bos taurus (domestic cattle). RNAcentral's name for it is "long non-coding RNA NONBTAT011070". The record is from RNAcentral. Lineage: Eukaryota; Metazoa; Chordata; Mammalia; Artiodactyla; Bovidae.
AGCUUCUGCAGGACACAUGGGCUCUUUGGGCAUCACUUCAGGCAGUUGUGUUCUAGUGACUCCAGAUCAAGGGCUGGGCCCUGGAGCAUGAGUGAUAACGCUGACCUCUAAAUGGUUCUCACCAGGGAAAGGUGGGAAAAAACAAGGGUGGCCCAUGGAUAUUGUACCCACUCAGCCGCUGUGUCAGGAGACUGAGAAAUGGGAGUUUAAUUCUGAAAUGAAGGUUACAUUUUUGAAAGUGUCUCCAGUCUUUUUGUUCUUCUCCUGCCUCAAACCCUGGAGCCUCCUUCUUCU